UACGUAGGGGGCAAGCGUUGUCCGGAUUUAUUGGGCGUAAAGAGCGUGUAGGCGGUUAGGUAGGUCCGUUGUGAAAACUCGAGGCUCAACCUCGAGACGCCGAUGGAAACCAUCUAACUAGAGUCCGGAAGAGGAGAGUGGAAUUCCUGGUGUAGCGGUGAAAUGCGCAGAUAUCAGGAAGAACACCCGUGGCGAAGGCGGCUCUCUGGGACGGUACUGACGCUGAGACGCGAAAGCGUGGGGAGCGAACAGG
RNAcentral lists this ribosomal RNA (253 nucleotides) under uncultured bacterium. Its description in RNAcentral is "partial 16S ribosomal RNA". It matches the Rfam family "Bacterial small subunit ribosomal RNA", at positions 524 to 776 of the family's 1533-position model. The record is from RNAcentral.